AUUGAACGCUGGCGGCAGGCUUAACACAUGCAAGUCGAGCGAGCGGCGGACGGGUGAGUAAUGUAUGGGAAACUGCCCGAUAGAGGGGGAUAACUACUGGAAACGGUGGCUAAUACCGCAUCCCAUCGGAUGUGCCCAGAUGGGAUUAGCUAGUAGGUGGGGUAAAGGCUCACCUAGGCGACGAUCCCUAGCUGGUCUGAGAGGAUGACAAGCCACACUGGAACGGAGACACGGCCCAGACUACUACGGGAGGCAGCAGUGGGGAAUAUUGCACAAUGGGCGCAAGCCUGAUGCAGCCAUGCCGCGUGUGUGAAGAAGGCCUUCGGGUUGUAAAGCACUUUCAGCGGGGAGGCGUUACCCGCAGAAGAAGCACCGGCUAACUCCGUGCCAGCAGCCGCGGUAAUAC
This 406-nucleotide ribosomal RNA is filed under the name uncultured bacterium. RNAcentral's name for it is "partial 16S ribosomal RNA". It matches the Rfam family "Bacterial small subunit ribosomal RNA", at positions 29 to 526 of the family's 1533-position model. The record is from RNAcentral.